Non-coding RNA from Pelodiscus sinensis (Chinese soft-shelled turtle), 821 nucleotides. Lineage: Eukaryota; Metazoa; Chordata; Testudines; Trionychidae. The record is from RefSeq and is a predicted model, not a curated record.
GGGCAAGGAAAACCUCAGAGAUUCCUGUGGCUCUGCAGUAGCAAGGCUCCUGCUCAAGCUCUCUCCCUGGGGAUGGAUAAACAAUUGGGAUUACUCUAGGCAAGCAAGUUGGCAGAUGCACAGUGAAUGAGGCAGUGCACUAAAGGAAGAGAAAGGAUAGUCUCAGUUAAGCCAUUGAAUGCUGCCUUGGAGAAUUGAUUCUAUUCAUGCUUCUUCCACUGAGUUCCUGGGUGAUGCUGGACAAGUCACUUAAAACAUAUUUUCAGAGGAGGGUCCUGAAGAACAGUAUAUUAUUAUAUAUAUUAGAAACGUGCAUCUGUCUGUCUGUGAGCAGAACCUCUCACAUGAAACAAACUCAUUUGUUCAAGAACUCCUCCUAAAUGGAGCUGCAGCAGCCAUGGAGAGGUGCUUCUCACCUGGCCCCAACCUGCUGGGAAAGAGGUCUGGGGUUGUCCCCUCUCUCCAGGGCAGCCCGCACACUAUCCCCAGCCUCUCAACCUCAGCCCCACCGCAGAAGAAUGAUUUAAAUGAAGAAAAAUAACACUUAUUUGAAUUAAGGAUCCGAGCAAUGCCAGGAGAGCACAGGUUGGACCUCCCUGAUUCCGCACCCUCAGAAUCCUACUGGUCCCAAAUGAGGGAGUUUUCCGGACCAGAGGAGGUCAAUACCGGCCCUCCUGCCACUGGCUUGGCAGGGUUCCUGGUCUCAACAGGGCUGCUGGCUCUUUUAUCACUGGCCCAGUAGGGCUGCUGGCCGCUGGAUCUGUCACAACUGGUCCUGACCCUAGCAGAGUUGCUGGCCUCUCUGCCUCUGGCCUGGCUGG